UUUGAAGGGGGAACUCCUGGUGAUCGACUUGACUGGGGACCAUCGUUCAUUUGCAGUGAUGACACUCUUUACUCUGAUGGAAAAGGAAACCCUGACACUGGAGCAGACUUUAAUCCUGCUCCAGACAUUGAUCAUGUAAACCCACGUGUGCAAAGAGUGUUAUCAGAUUGGAUGAUUUGGUUAAAGGAUGAAAUUGGUUUUGAUGGGUGGCGAUUUGAUUUUGCCCGGAGGAUAUUCACCUGCUUUUACAAAGAUAUAAAUGACAAACAAAAAGCCAAGUUUUGCAGUGGGGGAAUAAAUAUAUAAUUGUAAAUAUAUUUUUACGUGAUAAUAAAACUAAUUACAUAUUAAAGAAUAAUAUAAAAUUAAAAAAUAAAAAUAUUUAAUUUAUUUAUUUAAAUAUUUUUAUUAUUUUUCAAUAAAAAUAUGUUUUUUUUUUUAAAAAAGAAAGUUGUAGAUAUUAUGAUUUUAAUUAUGAAAAGUCUUUUUUGUAAAAUGAAAAGUUUUUCAAAUCUUAGUUAAAUUUUGGAAAAUUAGAAAACUGUUUCUAGUUCUCUAAAUAGACAAUUGACAGACUUGAACACGAAACUCUGUUUUUCAUUUUUUGGGAAAACUUUUCUAGAAAACUACUAUAGUUUUUCUACAUAUAAACAGCCCCCUGAACUUCAGCCUUGCAACAAAAUUUUCUCUCAACUUCAAAUUGUCUCACUUGAAAGUUACUUUCCAUUCUUUAUGAAAUCAGUGUUGAUAUAGCUUGACAUUUUCUGAACUGGAAACCCAGAAAGUUGAAUAACCAUGUGUAUGAAUAUAAGCCAAAUUUUUUGGCAGUUGGCUUUCCCGGCAAUGCUAUGCCAGAUGGUAUGCAAUAGGUUGUUAGGAAAAAAUUGCUGCUUGAAUUAUUUCUCUCAUUUUUGCUUAAGGUUAUCUGCCUGGAAGGCUCUAUGAUCUCAAUGCAUCACAGUAUGGAAACCAAGAUGCAUUUAAAACUUUAAUGAGGGCCUUCCAUGAGAAUGGGAUCCAAACGCAUAGCAGAUAUAGUUAUAAACCAUAGGUGUGCAGAGAAGCAAGACAAUAGAGGAAUAUGGUCAAUCUUUGAAGGGGGAACUCCUGGUGAUCGACUUGACUGGGGACCAUCGUUCAUUUGCAGUGAUGACACUCUUUACUCUGAUGGAAAAGGAAACCCUGACACUGGAGCAGACUUUAAUCCUGCUCCAGACAUUGAUCAUGUAAACCCACGUGUGCAAAGAGUGUUAUCAGAUUGGAUGAUUUGGUUAAAGGAUGAAAUUGGUUUUGAUGGGUGGCGAUUUGAUUUUGCCCGGAGGAUAUUCACCUGCUUUUACAAAGAUAUAAAUGACAAACAAAAAGCCAAGUUUUGCAGUGGGGGAAAUAUGGAAGGAUCUUGCUUAUGGAAAUGAUGGAAAGCCAUAAUACGACCAGGAUGCUC
This 1444-nucleotide long non-coding RNA is filed under the name Jatropha curcas. Its description in RNAcentral is "long non-coding RNA (JCUR_LNC000776)". The record is from RNAcentral. Lineage: Eukaryota; Viridiplantae; Streptophyta; Magnoliopsida; Malpighiales; Euphorbiaceae.